GCCGGGCAUGGUGGCGCGCGCCUGUAAUCCCAGCUACUCAGGAGGCUGAGGCAGGAGAAUCGCUUGAACCCAGGAGGCAGAGGUUGCAGUGAGCCAAGAUUGCACCACUGCACUCCAGCCUGGGCGACAGAGCGAGACUCCGUCUCAA
RNAcentral lists this non-coding RNA (148 nucleotides) under Homo sapiens (human). The record is from Rfam by way of RNAcentral. Lineage: Eukaryota; Metazoa; Chordata; Mammalia; Primates; Hominidae.